UUGUGUCGGGUAAGUCCUAUACGGCAUGCUCCCCCUGAACUCCGCCAGGUCUUGAUCGAAGCAACGGUAGGGUGGUUGUAGCGGCGCGAUGUAGAUAGCUUGCCCAUUU
This is a non-coding RNA of Bacteroidales bacterium 52_46, 109 nucleotides long. NCBI's taxonomy places the organism in Bacteria, Pseudomonadati, Bacteroidota, Bacteroidia, Bacteroidales. The record is from Rfam.